GAUUGCAUGGCUCAGUUGGUUAGAGCGUGGCACUGAUAAUGCCAAGGUUGCAGGUUCGAACCCCGUAUCGGACA
Podarcis muralis (Common wall lizard) is the source of this 74-nucleotide non-coding RNA. Lineage: Eukaryota; Metazoa; Chordata; Lepidosauria; Squamata; Lacertidae. The record is from the annotation of a RefSeq genome assembly.